UUCCGGUUGAUCCUGCCGGACCCCACUGCUAUCAGAGUGGGACUAACCCAUGCGAGUUAACGUAGCAAUACGUGGCAUACGGCUCAGUAACACGUAGUCAACAUGCCCAGAGGACGUGGACAACCUCGGGAAACUGAGGAUAAACCGCGAUAGCUCAUGAUUCCUGGAAUGGUUCAUGGCCGAAAUCUAUAUGGCCUUUGGAUUGGACUGCGGCCGAUCAGGCUGUUGGUGAGGUAAUGGCCCACCAAACCUGUUACGGGGACGGGCUCUGAAAGGAGGAACCCGGAGAUGGCCACUGAGACAAGGGCCCAGGCCCUAUGUGGUGCAUCAGGUGCGAAACCCCCGCAAUAGGCGAAAGCUUGACAGGGUUACUCUGAGUGAUUUCCGUUAAGGAUAUCUUUUGACACCUCUAAAAAUGGUGCAAAAUAACGGGUGGGCAAGUCUGGUGUCCGCCGGCGCCCAAAUACCCCCACCCCGAGUGGGCGGGACGAUUAUUGGGCCUAAAGCCUCCGUUGCCGGUUCUGCUGUCCUCCCCUUACUCCAGUCUC
This 548-nucleotide ribosomal RNA is filed under the name uncultured archaeon. RNAcentral describes it as "bacterial SSU rRNA". It matches the Rfam family "Archaeal small subunit ribosomal RNA", at positions 1 to 558 of the family's 1478-position model. The record is from RNAcentral.